UACGAAGGGGGCUAGCGUUGUUCGGAAUUACUGGGCGUAAAGCGCGCGUAGGCGGAUUUGCCAGUCAGGGGUGAAAUGCCAGGGCUUAACCUUGGAACUGCCUUUGAUACUGCAAGUCUGGAGUACGGGAGAGGUGAGUGGAAUUCCGAGUGUAGAGGUGAAAUUCGUAGAUAUUCGGAGGAACACCAGUGGCGAAGGCGGCUCACUGGCUCGAUACUGACGCUGAGGUGCGAAAGCGUGGGGAGCAAACAGG
This 253-nucleotide ribosomal RNA is filed under the name uncultured bacterium. RNAcentral describes it as "partial 16S ribosomal RNA". It matches the Rfam family "Bacterial small subunit ribosomal RNA", at positions 524 to 776 of the family's 1533-position model. The record is from RNAcentral.